Molecule: long non-coding RNA, 4030 nt
Organism: Haemorhous mexicanus (house finch)
Lineage: Eukaryota; Metazoa; Chordata; Aves; Passeriformes; Fringillidae
Exons: 2
Source: RefSeq, a predicted model, not a curated record
UUGGGUACCCAGGGGAGGGACUGCAGCUCACCCCUCUGCCUUGUUCAUGUACCACCUUUACAAUUGAACAGAUGCAGCACAAAAAUACCAGCUCAGGGCAAACAGCUGCAGGUACUUGGACCCUGAGCUCACCAGUGAGAGGCACAUCGGGUGCAGACACCUUGCUGAGAAGAGUCUUUGGCUGAAGAAACAAAAUCCUUUUUGGACAGCAGCAUUCUGCCCCUCUGCCACUGCUGUUGCAGUGCAGAUGUCAGGAAGUUCACGCUGCUGGUGGACGUUUGCAGAGUGAAUCAUGGGGCACCACUUUCCAUUUUGACAAAAACAACUGCUGCUCAGUCAACAAGAUGCUGCUGAUCAAAUGGGUGGAUGGAACUCCUGCAACUGCUGCCAAAAAGGCUCCACCAGCACAAGCAAGCUGUGUGAGCUGGCUUGGAGAACUGGGAUUUAUUUUCCCUUCCAUGUUCUUAAGAGACUACUCACAGUUUUAUGUUCCUACCCAACACCUGAGGGGCUCAGCCUGUGGCUACCAGCUUUGACCUGCAAGUGGAGAAAAUGCUUGUUGCUGGAAGAGACUAGAAUAGUUAAAUUGGGGUGAAAAAAGGCAGAUAAUGUUUUAUGGAACAUGGAGUGCUACAGGAGACAAGAAAAACAGCUUCCUCUGGUGCCUAUUGCCAAAAUUUCAGAAGACCAGACAACAACUUGAGAAUUUCCAAGGGAACAGCCACUGAGUCAGUCAAAAAUAGAAUUAGGAAACUGCCUGUUUCAAAAGUAAGUCUGUAAGAUAUGCCAGCAUUUUUCAGUAUCUCUGUAAUUUCUGACUAGAACACUCAAGAGUUAACAAACAUUUAUCUACCCAAAAAAAAAAAAAAGUCAACCCACAGAAAAAGGCAAAAUGAGAAAGGAAAUCUAUGUAGCAAAGAAACACUCAUCAUAUUUCAUAUACUUAAAAUAAAAAUCAUUGAUAGCUUUUCCAUGCAUUUAUGCAAAGUUUAUUAUUUGCAAUUUUCAAACAUCUCUACUUUCUUAGGCAUCAUCAACAAGCAAGGACAGCUUUCCUGCAGUCAGCCUGUUAUUCAAAAUGUGGAUAAAUCAGGACAUGCAAAGAAGGCAAUACUGAGUGCUCUUCCCUGAAAGAGGACAAUAAGACUUAUACUGUUCCUUUUUACUAACUGAUUUUUUUUUUUUUUAUUUCAGUGAUUAAAAUCAAGAAAGGCUUAAGGGAAAGGGAGUAACUUUCUAUUUUAUUAUUCCUCACUGUUAGUUUUCUGCUAUAUCGGUUAUAAUGUGGCACUCAUUAACAAUGCAUAGAGAAUUACCAUAUUCAAGUAGCACAGCAAGUUUUUACUACCUACCCAGGCAAAAUCCUGCACAACCCUACUUGCUCCCUUUACUUAUUGUCCCAGAGGGAUCUCAUGCUGGAAGAGCUGGCAUUCUAUCACCUAACGGGAGAGGAAUUCCAACAGGUUAGAAACUCCAAGGAGCCCGGAACAGGAAAACAUUCCAUUAAAUCGCUGCCAAUGCAGAGCUGCACGGCAAAAAGAAGCUCUGGAGAUGUGUGCUGGAGGCUGCCUUGGAAUUAAAAACCCCGGCGGGAUUCCGGAGCGAUGUCCCACUGCUUUGAACUUCUCGGUGCGUUUCAGGGGGAUGCAAAUGAGAGACCGGAGGUGUGGGCUUUGUCUCCGAGGGAUUCCCGCUGGAAAUGCCGACAGACAGAACGGGAGCGGAGCUGUGGGAUCCCCUCGACCCACGGGGAGCAUCCCGGGGAGCCCAGCGGGAACCCAACCAGGACAAACCCACAGACGGAACUCAGAAGCACGAGGAGAGGAACGAGCCCUCUCAUGCAGAUCAGGAGGGCAGAAAAACGGCUCUUGGCAAGAUUUGAUUCCCCACACAGCAAUGCCUUGGAGUGCCCACCUCGUGUUUCCUCUCUGCAUCUUUUACAGACACUCGAUCAGUAUCGGUUGAUCACUGCAGUAGCUUAAUAACUCAUCUAUUUUACAGGUCAGGAAAUGAAAGCACCUAAAUUACUGAAUAAAUAUUACAAAUUAGCAAGGGUCUACAGUGCUCAUCGAUUUUAACUCCCAUCUAAAUCAGCAGUUUUGACAGACAUGCACACUGUUAUGCAGAGGCACCCAGAAAUUCAGCAUAGAAAUUUGGCUUUGAUGAUGUAAUCAAACUUAGAAAAAAGAGAGAAUCUAAAUUAAAGUUCAACAAUUCCUUUCUUCUAGACAGCUUGUAGGAACAAACAUGUUUGCUACUGCUUAAACUUUUAAAUCAGCUUAGCAGGCUUGAGAAAUGGAACCAUGCAGCUGAAAUUUGAAGUGCCCAAACACUGAGACCCUCCCAGCAUUAACCACAAUGCUACAGAGGAACCAUUAAGAAACAAGUAGUGGUAUAAUGCAGGUAAAUUCCAUUCUGAGAGCCAGGUUCUGCUUUCAAGACUUCUUACAAAAGUAUUUCCUUGGAUCUCUUGGUUGGCAAUCAUAAUCCCUUCAGAUUUUAAACCCUCAGUGCAAAUCUGGCACUCAAUAUACCUUAUAACUAAAAUGAAUUAGAAGCAUCCUUAAACUCAGCAAAAAAAGGUCUUGGCAUGUGGCUCACGUUGCCUACGGGGCAGGUAAGGACAAAUAUGAACACUUCACCAGCAUGAGCUCAUCCUGCAGGCACAAUCUUCCCAUCAAACGUGCUCAGUGCCACUCGUGCUGGCUCUGCUGUGCCAGUUGUCCCCCCACACAAAGAGGAUGCAAAGUGCUCCUCUCCUCAAGGUCUCCUUUUCUCGUGCAGCACAGCCACACCAAACAGCUCACACCAGAGCAAAAGCCCCCCUUACCAAAAGCCCUAAAUGCCCAGAAGCAGGAGGCACGGGCAAUGAAGUGGGGAAACAGCAGGAAUAGGUGCUCAGUUUUCCAUGUUUCUAUAAAAGCAAGUGAUAAUUUAAAAUCUCCAGCAGAUACUAUAGCAGGAGGGCAAUGAAGCAAGAGAACAGAUUGCAUGAAAGGAAGAAGUGCCCUAUGGAGUUUGUGACCUGUUUACCAUAAGUAAAUAAAUAAAUGAAAGCAAAACAACCCCCUGAGGUGACAGUUUGCAUGAGGGACAUUAGUGACUCUGUCAUGUGGAAGCCUAUAGAAACAACUGUCAUUACAGAGCAAGGGAUUGAUUUGCCACACAACAGGAACUCAGGAGAGAAAGCAGAUGUGAAAGAAGGGAAGAGGAAGAUUUGGAAAUGAGGACAGCAGGGAAGUCACUCUGAAUAUUGCCCAGCUAACACCACUGCCCUGGUACAGAGCAGCUGAAGGCCAAGAGGAAAACCGAGCAGUUUGAGAACACCAUGAAAUGAAGAGAGAGCACACAACCCAGGUCAAUUCUUUCUACUCCCCACUGAAUCACUCAGCAACUCCUCCUGCUCCUGUGGCAGGUGGAAUAUCACAAUUUUGCAUCCUUCAUUAGGGUUAAUUAGUUCACUUGCUGACAGUGUUGAAAGAAAGGCCAAGUGUUGGCUCAGCCAGAGGGAGUGACAUCUUCAGUUCCUGCAGGAGCCUGCUGUCCAAGGAAAGCCUGUGGAACUGUCCUCUAUUCCCUGAUCUGAGGACUGGCUCCAGAAUAAAUCUUAUUCCUUUCAGUUCCACUACCAUCCACUGCUAUCAAAAAUCAGGAAUAUGUUAUUUUGUCCUCUUUGAUCUCAUUCAAACCGUGAAAACAACAGUCUAAGCAUUUUGCCCUGCCGUAUCUCGGGGAGAUGGAAACCUUUUACCAGCAAGAAAUUCUUACAGCAGUUACCAUGGUGACUCUGGUAAUAGAUAUUUAAAGGCAGCUCACUCAAUCACAUUCAUUAGAUAUCAGGAGGCUUUAGUAAGAGAGGCACAAAAAGCUUGAAACCAGGGAGCCAACCAGGCUUGGUGAUGGUAUAAGAAAUUUCUGGGGAGGGAUCUGCUUAUUCCAUCAUUUAGCUGGACACAAAGGGCUCCUGUUCAAAUCUGGAAUGGCACUGAAGCUUGCAGAAUAAACUAUUUUUAGUUUGUCAAUUUAAAAA